UACAGAGACUGCAAGCGUUAAUCGGAAUGACUGGGCGUAAAGCGCACGUAGGUGGUUGCGUAAGUCGGAUGUGAAAGCCCCGGGCUCAACCUGGGAACUGCAUCCAAAACUGGCGAGCUAGAGUACGGUAGAGGGUGGUGGAAUUUCCUGUGUAGCGGUGAAAUGCGUAGAUAUCGGAAGGAACAUCAGUGGCGAAGGCGACCUUCUGGACAAAGACUGACACUGAGGCACGAAAGCAUGGGGAGCAAACAGG
This 253-nucleotide ribosomal RNA is filed under the name uncultured bacterium. Its description in RNAcentral is "partial 16S ribosomal RNA". It matches the Rfam family "Bacterial small subunit ribosomal RNA", at positions 524 to 776 of the family's 1533-position model. The record is from RNAcentral.